This 606-nucleotide ribosomal RNA is filed under the name Filobasidium magnum. RNAcentral describes it as "eukaryotic LSU rRNA". It matches the Rfam family "Eukaryotic large subunit ribosomal RNA", at positions 75 to 668 of the family's 3401-position model. Lineage: Eukaryota; Fungi; Basidiomycota; Tremellomycetes; Filobasidiales; Filobasidiaceae. The record is from RNAcentral.
UUCCCCUAGUACGGCGAGUGAAGCGGGAAGAGCUCAAAUUUGAAAUCUGGUGGCCUCAGGUCAUCCGAGUUGUAAUCUAUAGAAGUGUUUUCCGUGCUGGCUCAUGUACAAGUCCCUUGGAACAGGGCGUCAUAGAGGGUGAGAAUCCCGUCCUUGACAUGAACUACCAGUGCUCUGUGAUACAUUUUCAACGAGUCGAGUUGUUUGGGAAUGCAGCUCAAAAUGGGUGGUAAAUUCCAUCUAAAGCUAAAUAUUGGCGAGAGACCGAUAGCGAACAAGUACCGUGAGGGAAAGAUGAAAAGCACUUUGGAAAGAGAGUUAAACAGUAUGUGAAAUUGUUGAAAGGGAAACGAUUGAAGUCAGUCGUGCUCUUUGGAUUCAGCCGGUUCUGCCGGUGUACUUCCUUUGAGUGGGGUCAACAUCAGUUUUGAUCGCUGGAUAAAGGCUGGAGGAACGUAGUACCCUCGGGUAAACUUAUAGCCUCCUGUCACAUACAGUGGUUGGGACUGAGGAACGCAGCACGCCUUUAUGGCCGGGAUUCGUCCACGUACGUGCUUAGGAUGUUGACAUAAUGGCUUUAAACGACCCGUCUUGAACCACGGACCA